UUGGAGGGCAAGUCUGGUGCCAGCAGCCGCGGUAAUUCCAGCUCCAAUAGCGUAUAUUAAAGUUGUUGCAGUUAAAAAGCUCGUAGUUGAAUUUCGGGGUCAGUAGGCUGGUCGUGCCACAGGUAUGUACUGGUCUCACUGAUUCCUCCUCCCUGAUGAACCGUAAUGCCAUUAAUUUGGUGUUGCGGGGAAUCUGGACUGUUACUUUGAAAAAAUUAGAGUGUUUAAAGCAGGCUAACGCUUGAAUACAUUAGCAUGGAAUAAUGAAAUAGGACGAUCGAUCCUAUUUUGUUGGUUUCUAGGAUUGACGUAAUGAUUAAUAGGGAUAGUUGGGGGCAUUAGUAUUCAAUUGUCAGAGGUGAAAUUCUUGGAUUUAUUGAAGACUAACUACUGCGAAAGCAUUUGCCAAGGAUGUUUUCAUUAAUCAAGAACGAAAGUUAGGGGAUCGAAGACGAUCAGAUACCGUCGUAGUCUUAACCAUAAACUAUGCCGACUAGGGAUCGGAUGAUGUUAAUUUUUUAAUGACUCAUUCGGCGCCUUACGGGAAA
Molecule: ribosomal RNA, 548 nt
Filed under: uncultured Glomeromycotina
Lineage: Eukaryota; Fungi; Glomeromycota
Description: SSU rRNA
Rfam family: Eukaryotic small subunit ribosomal RNA
Source: RNAcentral